UUCCGGUUGAUCCUGCCGGACCUGACUGCUAUCGGAUUGAUACUAAGCCAUGCGAGUCUUUGUAGUAAUACAAGGCAUACGGCUCAGUAACGCGUAGUCAACCUACCCUAUGGACAAGAAUAAUCUCGGGAAACUGAGCAUAAUUCUUGAUAGAUCAUAAUGCCUGGAAUGGUAUAUGGUUAAAAUGAUUCGUCGCCAUAGGAUGGGACUGCGGCCUAUCAGCUUGUUGGUGAGGUAAUGGCCCACCAAGGCGAUAACAGGUACGGGCUCUGAGAGGAGAAGCCCGGAGAUGGGUACUGAGACAAGGACCCAGGCCCUAUGGGGCGCAGCAGGCGAGAAAACUUUGCAAUGUGCGAAAGCACGACAAGGUUAGUCCGAGUGAUUUCUGCUAAAGAGAUCUUUUGCUAGUUAUAAAACCACUAGUGAAUAAGGGGUGGGCAAGUUCUGGUGUCAGCCGCCGCGGUAAAACCAGCACCUCAAGUGGUCAGGAUGAUUAUUGGGCCUAAAGCAUCCGUAGCCGGCUCUGUAAGUUUUCGGUUAAAUCUAUGCGCUCAACGUAUGGGCUGCCGAAAAUACUGCAGAGAUAGGGAGUGGGAGAGGUAGACGGUACUCGGUAGGAAGGGGUAAAAUCCUUUGAUCUAUCGAUGACCACCUGUGGCGAAGGCGGUCUACCAGAACACGUUCGACGGUGAGGGAUGAAAGCUGGGGGAGCAAACCGGAUUAGAUACCCGGGUAGUCCCAGCUGUAAACGAUGCAGACUCGAUGAUGCAUUGGCAUAUAGCCAGUGCAGUGUCGCAGGGAAGCCGUUAAGUCUGCCGCCUGGGAAGUACGUACGCAAGUAUGAAACUUAAAGGAAUUGGCGGGGGAGCACCACAAGGGGUGAAGCCUGCGGUUCAAUUGGAUUCAACGCCGGG
This 914-nucleotide ribosomal RNA is filed under the name uncultured marine archaeon. Its description in RNAcentral is "bacterial SSU rRNA". It matches the Rfam family "Archaeal small subunit ribosomal RNA", at positions 1 to 922 of the family's 1478-position model. The record is from RNAcentral.